Molecule: non-coding RNA, 46 nt
Organism: Trichobilharzia regenti
Lineage: Eukaryota; Metazoa; Platyhelminthes; Trematoda; Strigeidida; Schistosomatidae
Source: Rfam
GUACUACUGAAGAGUCCCAAACUAGGACGAAACAGCUGUCCAGUAC